RNAcentral lists this ribosomal RNA (468 nucleotides) under uncultured bacterium. RNAcentral's name for it is "partial 16S ribosomal RNA". It matches the Rfam family "Bacterial small subunit ribosomal RNA", at positions 28 to 507 of the family's 1533-position model. The record is from RNAcentral.
GACGAACGCUGGCGGCGUGCUUAACACAUGCAAGUCGAACGGCAAGGCCCUGCUUUUGUGGGGUGCUCGAGUGGCGAACGGGUGAGUAACACGUGAGUAACCUGCCCUUGACUUUGGGAUAACUUCAGGAAACUGGGGCUAAUACCGGAUAGGAGCCCCUGCUGCAUGGAGGGGGUUGGAAAGUUUCGGCGGUUGGGGAUGGACUCGCGGCUUAUCAGCUUGUUGGUUGGGUAGUGGCUUACCAAGGCUUUGACGGGUAGCCGGCCUGAGAGGGUGACCGGCCACAUUGGGACUGAGAUACGGCCCAGACUCCUACGGGAGGCAGCAGUGGGGAAUAUUGCACAAUGGGCGGAAGCCUGAUGCAGCAACGCCGCGUGCGGGAUGACGGCCUUCGGGUUGUAAACCGCUUUCGCCUGUGACGAAGCGUGAGUGACGGUAAUGGGUAAAGAAGCACCGGCUAACUACGUG